RNAcentral lists this unclassified non-coding RNA (507 nucleotides) under uncultured Glomeromycotina. RNAcentral describes it as "SSU rRNA". It matches the Rfam family "Eukaryotic small subunit ribosomal RNA", at positions 591 to 1092 of the family's 1831-position model. The record is from RNAcentral. Lineage: Eukaryota; Fungi; Glomeromycota.
CCAAUAGCGUAUAUUAAAGUUGUUGCAGUUAAAAAGCUCGUAGUUGAAUUUCGGGAUUGGCGCAUCGGUCGUGCCUCACGGGGUAUGAACUGGUGCAGUCAAUUUCUCACCUUCUGGAGAACCGCGAUGUCCUUAAUUGGAUGCCGCGGGGAACCAGGACCUUUACUUUGAAAAAAUUAGAGUGUUUAAAGCAGGCAUUUUUGCUUGAAUACAUUAGCAUGGAAUAAUAAAAUAGGACGGCAUGGUUCUAUUUUGUUGGUUUCUAGGACCACCGUAAUGAUUAAUAGGGAUAGUUGGGGGCAUUAGUAUGCAAUUGUCAGAGGUGAAAUUCUUGGAUUUAUUGAAGACUAACUACUGCGAAAGCAUUUGCCAAGGAUGUUUUCAUUAAUCAAGAACGAAAGUUAGGGGAUCGAAGACGAUCAGAUACCGUCGUAGUCUUAACCAUAAACUAUGCCGACUAGGAAUCAGACGAUGUUAAUUUUUUAAUGACUCGUUUGGCACCUUACG